GGUUCCUAGUUGGAUUCGUUAACCACUGCGCCACGUCGGGAACUCCUCAUUUACUAUUUUAAAACAGUAAAAGGAAUAGGGCAGAAGAGGCCUGGUGGUCUGCUGGUGGGGAACUCAGAGCUGGUGGGGCCUUACCUCGCUCCCCCCCCAUCGUCUCUUUGUCCCAGUGGGAUGGGAACAGGGUCAUUUACAGAUGGAAGAUCACGACUAGGGAAGGCAAACUGAGUGCUCGCUUUUAUCUGUCUCUCCCAAAUUUCACUGAACGCCGAGAAGUCCACACGCACUCUCAUGGCAAAAACAAAAGUGCAAGAAGAGUAAUGGUGAGUCACUUCCGUGAUGGGCGGUGGCAGGUGGGAUUGAGUGAGGAAGAAAAGAGAUCUGAGAAGACAGAAGCUGAAGAUCUGCGGAGAAGGGGGCUGGGCUGGGAGGGGAGCUGUUGGAGGAACCAGAGCCCUGCAGGAAACUAGGAAAUCCUGGAAGAAGCUAGUUGCUGUCAAGCAGCAGAAGGGAGGACAAGGCAGGAGGUGGCGUCUUCAUGCGUGCCUUUCACUGUCAGGAGGCACCUAGCAGUGUGACCCCAUGUGGGUGAGAAGAGAUACAGAUACAGACUGCAAAAGUCCUGUGCUCGGGUCAGAGUCCCCAACCUCCCCCCGGAGUCCCCAUUCUCCCCCCACACUGCUGACCACUCGCCCAUCAACAAGCGUCUCCUCCCAAGUGGGACAAGGUUGUACUCAGAGGUGGCUACAGCUUCUGCCACCUGAAUCCAGGACUGGGCCCUAGAAUGCAGAUACUGGCGUGGGGUGGGGGCAGAUAGCAGGAAGGGAACAGGAUCCAUGGAGGGCAGCCUGGUGCGUGGGAGGGCUCAGGUCCUCAGGACGCAGGACUGGCAGUCUCUGCUUUCCGCCUCCCUUCUCUGCGCCCCCGAGGACAAGCGCUGCCCGGGGACCCUCCUUCCCAGUGUCCCUCCACUUACAGAGAUGGAGGAGGAGCUGGGAGGGCUGAGGGUGUCGCCAUCAAGCACCAAAAGGCCCCAGUGACCAAAAUAUGUAGCUCAUUUUCUGGAAGCCCUGGGAAGGUACCCCCGCGCCUUGCUCAGGUGGGCCCUCGGCCCAUCACGUGCUCCAGAACCGGGGAGGGUGCUCUGGGCGCGGCACUGACCUUGGAGACCAGCUCCCUCGGCCCCCCUGCUGCUCCUGCUCUCCCCAUCCUCUCCUCCCUGUGCCCCGGUGUCGUGGCCAAGGCCCUGGCUUUGCACGCGCGGUCUUGCUGGAUGGGUGCGGAGGGGAGGGCACGCGCACGCGGAUGGACGCCCUGCCUCGGAGUUCGUUCUCGCGUCCCCAUUUCCCCAACUAGAAAGUGUGGCCGCCGAGGCGCCCUGCGGCUUAGCCAGCCCGGCGUGGAGCCCCUGGACCUCGGCUUCUGCACCCAGACCUCCUACCCCGCCCCCGCCCCUGGCCCCCGGCCCGCCCCACCCCGAGCCUGGGGGGACCGGCACCUGCACCAGGAGGAUGAGGCGGCUCCAGAGGGAGGGAGCGGGCUUAGCCCUUCUUGGUCAAGACUCUGCUGAUAUUCUUUACUCAAAACCAAACCCGUAUCUACAAAAGAGAAACAGACUCAAUCACAGAGAACAGACUAGUGGUGGCCAAGGGGGUGGGGGGACUGGACGGGGAGUUUGGGGUUCGUAGAUGCAAACUCUUAGGGUUAGAGCGGAUAAGCAAUGCGGUCCUACCCUACAGCCCAGAGAACUCUAUCCGAUCUCUUGGGAUAGAACAUGAUGGGAGGUAGUAUGAGAAAAAUGUGUGUGUGUGUGUGUGUGUGUGUAUAUGUAUGACUGUGUCACUUUGCUGGAAAAAAUUGUAGAUCAACUAAACUUUAAAAAUGCCUUUAUUUUUCAUCUAGAUGCGAAAGUGAUACACUUCAUGGGGGAAAAUGUAGACGGUGCAGGGAGCACAAAGCACAAGGAAAAUAAAAACCACCUGCGACCCCAACAGCUCAUGGCAGUUGGCGUUUCAGUCGCUUUCCAGCUCCCUUGCUCUGAUGACAAACACUGCGGGGUCGUUUGGAGCAUUCGCUAGCAUUUUUCCUGGCAUUUGAAUGGUCUGUUUCUUCCCCGCAAUGAUUAAAUAGCACCCCACCAUC
Molecule: long non-coding RNA, 2139 nt
Organism: Phacochoerus africanus (Common warthog)
Lineage: Eukaryota; Metazoa; Chordata; Mammalia; Artiodactyla; Suidae
Exons: 2
Source: RefSeq, a predicted model, not a curated record